Molecule: long non-coding RNA, 1126 nt
Organism: Passer domesticus (house sparrow)
Lineage: Eukaryota; Metazoa; Chordata; Aves; Passeriformes; Passeridae
Exons: 6
Source: RefSeq, a predicted model, not a curated record
CCGCGGAGCUGCCGCCGCGGCCGCGGGGGAACCGGGCUCCCGGGACAGCCGCUCCUCCUUUCCAUCCCUGCAGCCCCGAGAGAAGGGGGCUGUGAUGCUCCCAACCCCACCGCAGCCGCCGGGUGGCAACACCGGCGGCAUUAUUUACGUCUUGGGACACUUCUGCGGGGCACCAAGUCCGGCUCCUCAUCACGAACCUGACGCGCAGUUAUCGUGUAAUCGAUAAUAUCAAAUCUCAGAGAACCAUCAGGAAGAUGCUGCAGGGGACCGGAUGGGCUCAAGCUUUGCAGAGCAAUAGACGAGGUUGAUCAACCAGCACCUGCAGGAAUUUCAGAGAAAACAAGACAACAACUGAUCUGAAACUUUAUGAUUCUGCCUGACAUUAUGCUCUGCCUACAGACAUCUGCAGCAGGUGACACAGGAGCAUGUCCAGGUAGGAUUGGAAUGGCCCCACAGAGGGAGACUCCAGGCCCUCCCUGGGCAGCUGUUCCAGGGUUCUGCCACCCUCAGUGCACAGAAAGGCUGCCUCACACUGAGGUGAAUUUCUUGUGUUUAGUUUAUGUCCAUUGCUCCUCAUCCUGUCCCUGGAGACCACUGAAAAGAGCCUGGCACCAUCUCAAAACCCUUAUUCGAGAUACUUAUCCAGGACCAGGCAGCUCCUCUGAAGUCAGUCAUUAUUCCAGCUAUGAAUGACCUCAGAAUGUCAUUCUGUCAGGAAAGCUUGACUGUCAUCCAUGGACAUCUUGAUCAUGCCUCCCUUCCCUGUCACCCUGCUGCUGUGAAGAGGAACUGAACAACAUGAACAAGCUGGUUCAGAGGAGGAUGCUGAGGAAAAGCUGAGAUCUUCAGUGGACCAUGGCAGAAUUGUACAAGCUGGAAACUGUGCCCACUACCUGGAGAAACCUUUCAAAAAUUAACCUGAGAGCAGCUGGAAAAGGUUAGUCUGAUACCUUUUCUUGUAAAUGGGACACAGUCAGGAUCCCCACAGCACCAGGAAGCACCCAACACACUUACACUCUAUGUGAUGCCCGGCUUUGACCUCGGCAAAUAUAAGGAAACCUCUCUGGCCUCUAGUGUUACAGAGUUUCCUUUUAUUUCUUUACUUUUUCAUUUAAAGUAGUCCAAA